CGGUGACCGUUGACCGGCAAGGGCAUUUUGGUAAUUUCACACUAUGAGGGCAAUUUUGUAAUUUCUGAGCCUGUUGAUAUUUUAGUAAUUCCUAGAAUUGAGGAUUAAGGGUAAUUAUGAUUCCGAGGGUAAUUCAGUGAUUUAAGAUUUCAGAGCAUGUUAAUGAUCUACGGGCUCAAGGGCAUUUUAGUAAUUUUAUGGACACAGGAGUUGUAAAUUAGGGAUAGAUGUUCGUUUCGAGUUUAUUGCAUAAAAUUUAGUCAUUAUUCCGAUUUACGGAAAUAAUUAUGUCGUUUCCUUGAUUUAGGAAGAUUCGCGAGCGAGAACCCGUCCGCGGACGUGGACGAUAACCGACCGUGAACACCGUCAUUGUGAGUGGAAUAUACAAAACCUAUUUUCAUAGUUAAUUAUGAUGGUAAUGCAUGUUUGUGAAAUAAGUAUUUUAAAUGUUCCGAUUUAAUGAUUUCCUCGAAAUGGAUUUUUUUUACGCAUUGGUAUUUUAUUAAAAUGUUUGGUUAUUGAUUUUACGUAUCGACUUUGAAUAAAGCAUGAUAAUAUUUUAAAGAUAAGAAAAGUGGAUUCAAAUGUGGUAUGAUUUAAAAUAUGGUUAAGAGGUAUGUGACUAUGAGUAUAAUGAUUGUUUUUGAAAUCAUUAGACAGUAGUACAGCAGACUUGAUCUUCAAUUCAUUCCAUCAUUCUUUGAUUAUUCCCUCUUUAAGAUUCCUUUCACUUAAAUAUUUCCAAUAUAACCCCACAAUAACAAAAUAUAAAAAUAAGAUAAAAAUUAAUAUAAUAAAAUAAAAUUUAACAUAAAAUUAAGUUAGGGAAGUAUUAAAAUAAUUUCUUAAUUUUAAGCACAUCAACAGCCUUUAAUUUUUCUCUUAUAACACUAAUAUUCUCAUUAGUACUCUGAACAAUUUAAUGACCAAACAACUUACUUUACUUGAAUUCAUCUCAACAGAUUAGGGUCCUACAUUUCUUUUCAUACAAAGCCUCAAAUAUAUGAUGAGAUAUGAGAUGGUAUUUCCCUGUCUAUUCGUGUAGCUCCGGGGCAUGACGUUACCCAGAUAGUACAUCAUUGCCCGUCCGUUGAGGUCCGGAUAUGACGAGAUUAUUUCCCUGGGUACUUGUUUGGUGACGAUUUUCAGAUUUGUGAAUUCUAUAUGAUAUUGUGAUAUGAUUUCCAUGGUUAGUAAUCUGAUUUAAAUGUUUAAUGAUUUAUUACUAGUUUCUCGCUUAUGGUUAAAUCAAAUCGUGUUUGGAAAUGAUAUGAUUAUUUCUUUUUAAAGUAACAAUUAAUUUUCAAAACUACUAUCCACUCACUGAUCUCACUAAGUUUUAAACUCACCCCGUUUUUAUUAUAUUUUCCCCUCUCACCAGGAGGUUGCAGGUACACCAGACCGACCCAGCGAUUGUAAAUAUAUUUUGAGUCUUGGCCACGUGAUGGUGUUAGAAGAUAUAAAUAUUUUUGUUAGGACAUCUUGGUUAUCUCGUCCUGUUGGGAUUGUAUAAUUUUGUUAUAUUAUUCUUUUGGGAUUAAGAAUAAACUGAGAUAUUAAUAUUAUUCAUAAUAUUAUCUUUUAAGACUCUAGAGAUAUAAAACUCAGCAUUUUGGUUGAGGAUAUUGAUCACUGGAGUUUGUUGUAUAUUGAAUUAUAUUGGGAGUGUUAUAUUCAUAUUUGUAGAUUGGGAGUAUUAUAUAUAUAAAGGAGACUUUGCCGAAUUUUAGGCAGAAUCUUUACUAAUAGAAUUUUUAUCAAGUCUGUUUUGAUGAGACUAGAUAGACUCGCUUGGGGGGGAUUCAGGGCGGGUCGUUUCAGUUCGUAUCAAAGCAUGAUUUUAGAUUCUGUAGACUUUACUAUCUUAAUAAGAAUAAGUUUUAUUAUUAAAGUUAGAAUUUAUAUCUUGUAGGCACCAUCAUGCUUCGUCGUAGUAGUAGACGUGGUCGUGGCCGUACUACGCCAAUAGCUGGGUUGACUUCUGGUAGUGUACCUACAGGGGAAAGUGAACCCGUGAAUGAGGGGAUAAUUGAAUCCUCUACGCAUGAAAUUACACAACAAGCACCGGGGAAUGCCCCAAAUAUUGAGCAGUCAUUUGAUAGGCUGGCUCAGAUCAUGACUACAGUUGUGCAAAAUCAGACUCAAGCGCAUGUCGAUAAUGCAAACACUAUUGAGCGAGUGAGACGUUUAGGGGCGAAGAGCUUUAAUAGUUUCGGAGAACCACCUGAGGCUGAGUCAUGGUUUAUUAAGUUAGAGCGUAUUUUUGACGUGAUGAAGUGUUCGGAGGAUGACAGAUUAUCCUUUGCCACUUUCUUGCUCGAGGAUAGAGCUUACCAUUGGUGGCAAAUUGUGGAGAGAUGAUAUCAGGGGCAUGUUGUGAUUACUUGGGCCGUUUUCCGCAAGAAAUUCUACGAUCAUUAUUUUCUUGCUGUAUAUCAGGAUAUUAAAUGGAGUGAAUUCUUUCGGUUGGUUCAGGGAUCUCUAACAGUUGAGGAGUACGAGAAGAAAUUUUUAGACCUCUCUAGAUUUGCUACAUCUGUAGUCGGUGAUGAGAGAGAGAGAUGCAGACGGUUCGAGGAUGGCCUCCGAUUUGAGAUUCGCUCCACCGUGACUGCAUCACGAUAUACUGAGUUUGGAGAGGUGGCUGAGGUAGCCAGGAGAGUAGAGCACAGUAUUUCAGAAGGACGUAGAUUUCAUGCACUGAAGCAGAAGCGUAGCCAGAGCUGGGCAGAGGGUGACUCUAGUAGUAGGCCGCUGUUGGCAAAUUUUAUAAGCAAUAACUAUCAAUGUCAAUGUGUAAGUAUACACAAUAAGUAAUAAAGUGAUAAGUAUUCAAGAUCAUCUACAUAGGGAUUGAUGUUAUUCAAAAUGUUAUAGCACUCACAAUAACGCAACUCAACUUGAAACCAAAACAAACAAUUGUCAAAUAAUUUCUAUCAUAAUCGAUAAUUGAAAUAAGAAUUAAAUAAGACAAUACUGUAAUGAAAUAAACUAGAUUAAUUGUGUUUAAGAUUCAAUUGAGAAUAUAGUAGUUGAAUGAUCAAACUCUCCUAAUAGGGUGACUGUUGUUUACCAAAUUAGCACCAGUCAUUAGAAUAAGUGCUGCAGCACCGAGUAGAAUAAAUCGGCAUCCUUAGCUAUCGCAUGUUGGAAGUUUCAUACCUUUAAAUCUACUAACAAUGACCAGUUGCUCAUAUAUUUAUGGUACGACAUUAUAACCUUUAAUCUUUCUACCCUACAAGGUGAACACCUAUGUCUAGAGUGUCAUAAAUCUUAACUUCAAGUAUUACCCUUAUGGGAUUCAGGAUAACCUAAUCCAGGAAACUCGACUUAGGAAUAAGUAAUACUCUAAUAAUGUCUGCUAAGACAUGCCCUUUUGCUGCUCUAUCUUAACUAAAACUAUUAAAUGGGUGGUUAACCGAAAUAACAUUAUAUUCAUAAAAGCUAUUAAAGCAAAAUGCUACAGUAAUACCAUAACAACAUAUAAGAACAGUCAAGAACCCAUUGGAUUAUUUGUCACUCAACUACAAGUAAAUUUAGUUCAUAAUCUGGAUGAGAAAAAUAAACAUAAACAUAUUGGUCUCGGAAUACAUCAAAUCAAUUAAAGGAAGAAGAUAAAUAUAAGUUAAGCAUGGUGAAAAUCAAAGCCAAGUAAUUCUGCACGAUUGUCCAAUGUUGCCGAAACAACGCUUUUCAAUUAUGAUCUUCUUCUUCUUCUUCUUCGUUCCUUCUAAUUAUUCUAAUGAUAAUUCCUUUUCCGCCUUUCUUUGUGGUAUUGCCUCCUUUUUAUAUUGCAAAUUAGGGUAAACAUAAGCCCAUGAGCGUGCAUGCGAUAAAUUAGGAAACAUGUGCUGACCCGCGCCUAAGUUUUCUCCCGCAUUUACUUCCAGAUUGCUACAGCAUGGGUUGCUUUAACAUCCGCAACAGCAUUGCAUUGCUCCCGAUUGUGCUUUUCUUCUUUUAUGGUUGUCUUCUUUCCUUCUCUUGCUCAUCUAAUGUCUCAACAUCCCCUCAUGAAUUAAGACUUUCCAAGAAUCUACAAUUAUGCAUCUGUUUUUAGCACAAACUACUAUGAUUCAAGCAAAACUUAUUAAUACUAAUCUAAAAUGAAUGUUUAAACAAAAUGUAAUCAAAAUGUAAUAAAAACAUCUUAUUUGUUCUCUAAAUGAUCUUGAUUCAAGUCUAGAAUUGAUGUAAUAACUCUCAUUUCCUAGAGUUAUCACACCCCAAAACUUAAACCAUUGCUUGCCCUCAAGUAAUGACACAUACUAACAUUUCCCGCAAACAAACAUGCACACAACUUUAGCUCUUUUAUCAAUUUUUACAAGGAUUCUUCCACCUUCAGAUCACAUUCCCAAUUAUGCAAGAUGACCAUAGUAAAUUAGUUAUAGACUUAAGCUUCUUUCUGUCCAUAUUGUGUGUGUGCUCUUUCGGUUGAAUUCUAGAUAUGCCAUAACAUCACCAAGGGACUGCAUGAAUUUCAGCAGUGAGAAUACUUCAUUUAUAAAUGGGGUAACAAAACUUUCACAUACUCAACAGUGAUAAUUUUAGGAUUUGACAAACUAGGGAAUAUUCAACCUCCUCACUGUAACAUUUAUCUUUCAUGUGAAUGUCAAUCAAUUGUAAUGAUGACAUCCAAUUACUCAAACCAUGCCUAGAUUAGAGUUGUUGCAGCAGUAACUAUAAUGUAAUCUUAUCUAGAGGUAUCUUUUACUCAAGGCUGAACAUGGGGCUCAUGAACAGACCUGGAUACUCAAUGCCUUAGACAUAGGAUUUUUUUUUAUAUAAUUGUGCUACAGCAUUGCUCAUAACUCUUGCUACCUUUGAACACAAUUCGUCAUUUGGGGUACAUACUCAGAUCUGGUUACUCAACAACUUAAGCCAUUGGAACAGAUUGUAUUUCAUAGAAAUCACGGUUAAUCAAACUUGCUUUUCCCCCCAAACUUAGGAUCUUUUCUAUUCUUUUGGCUUUGCUCUAGCAGUCUCAUACAAUUCAACCAAAGUCUAAGUGUGAGGACAUAAUUUCACUUUCAUCUAUAACUUAUCUCUACUUGGCAUAUAAAUACUGAAUAGCACUCAAUUUAUCUUCAUUAGGUUUUCAAAUCCAUACACAAAUACUGGAUAACAGAGCUUCACACCACACAAACAUGAACACAUGUAUAUAAACAAAAACAUAUGCAUUCGGAAACAUAACCCCCUUAAACUUGAGAGUUGCUGUGUCCUUACACACAUACAGAACAAAGGCACAUGAACUGACAAAGAUAUGGGAAAACCUUUGAAAAUAUCACACAAAUUGACAACCGAAGGGAAGAAAUUUUUUUUUAACAGAAAUAAACUAGUAAGGAAAGAAUACUCCCCUGUGGUGGGGAUUGCAGCACAUGACGGGAUGCUAUUAACGCUUCUUGGAUACACUGCGCAACUUAUCCUUUGGUGAAGCUUGUGGGGAAGUAGCUGGCAAUGUCUUUUUCUUUUUCAUCGCGGGUCUAGUGAGAGGAGUUGUGGAUGGGGUUGCUGUAGCAGGGCCUCUAGAAGUACUGCCUUUUCUUUUGUUGGACUGUCGUGGGCUGGUGCGAACAGGCUGGCUAGGAGUUUGCUGGAGGGGAAUUGGAGCUGAUCCAUCAGCUGCUUGGCCCUCAGCUGUGAUGGCUGCAAUGAUCGCCAAUAGUUGCUUGGCUUGCUCAGGUGUAGGCGUAACUUUAGUUGCUGCAGCAUCUAGCUCGGCAUCAACUUGCUCCAUUUCAUCUGCAGAGUCUGGAGGUGUUGCCAUUUUCGCUUUACCCUUGUCCUUUCCCUUGCUCGCAAGGACUGGAAUAGAUGGUUCCUCUUCAGGGUCUUUCUCCUCUUCUUCUUGAAUAAUGUGCUGCUUCCUAGUUUUGGACUGGGUUGGGAUGGUUGGUCCAUCACGUUCUUUCUCCGAAUUGUCCUCUGCCUUUGAGGGUGAGUUAUCAGUCUCAGACUUGUCACCGUCGUCCUCAGGUGGGUUAGAUGGUUCAGCAUCUUGUGAUUCGACUUCUACUUAUGGAUCAGCUGCAGCUUCUUCUGUUGGUUCAUCUGUAGUAGUGGCUUCUUUAUUGGCUUCUGCUGGAGCAUCUGUGGUGUUGGUGUCAAAAUUAUACUACGGGAUCAGUGAAUCAGGGAAGUUCUGGUGAGUGCGUUUCAUGUACAGGGCAAAUUGGUGUAGUUGGUUGUCCAGGUGCUGGAGAUAAUUCCAAAACCGAUCGUUCUCCAGCUAUUGUGCUUCCGCACAUUAAGUUAUACUUGUGCUAAGUGCAUGGAUGGUCUGUUCUAAGCCAAGAGCUCGUCUUGCUCCUGUCACAGCAGCUGGUUCAGUGGCUGUUCCAACACUCUCACCAACAACUCUCUCAAUAGUUUGUGUCGUAAAGACACCAUCAUUCUUGACAUGGUCAUCUCAGGUGUCAAGACGAACACCUGAAACUACACAAAUACUGGUGAAAAGUGAGGGAAAUAGCAAGGUAGCAGUUCGGUGAGUCUUGACUGCACACUCUCGGAUUUCUUUUGCAAUGAUGCUACCCACAUCUAUGGGAAACCUGCUAACGAUGACAACUCGACCCGGAACCCGCGACCUUGACCCGACCAUAUCUCCCAUUUCCGGCCACCGUUUCGGCCGAGCAUGGUACUAAUCUGAAGCUUAGAAGUCGAUCGCCAUUCCCUUGCCAUCCUCGUCGCCGAAAACCAACCGGAACACCGGCAAUCGAAGCUUGAAACCCGCGACUGUUUCACUUUGCUCCGCCGGGAUUUUCACCGGUUUUAGGUGACACCAUCGGUUGGAUUUUUUUCCUCACAACUCCCUCUUCCAUUUUCGACCAUCCAUAGGCACCGAGAGUCAUUGUUUUGCAGCCGGUCGAUUGUUGGAAUUCACGGUUGUCGAGAUAGAUUCCGGCGUCGUUGCUGCGCAUUGGAGCACACCACCAGUACCAUUGAACCAAAUUCCGAUGACCGUUGACCGACAAGGGCAUUUUGGUAAUUUCACACUAUGAGGGCAAUUUUGUAAUUUCUGAGCCUGUGGAUAUUUUAGUAAUUCCUAGAAUUGAGGAUUGGGGGUAAUUACGAUUCUGAGGGUAAUUCAGUGAUUUAAGAUUUCAGAGCAUGUUAAUGAUCUACAGACUCAAGGGCAUUUUAGUAAUUUUAUGGACACGGGAGUUGUAAAUUAGGGAUAGAUGUUCGUUUCGAGUUUAUUGCAUAAAAUUUAGUCAUAAUUCCGAUUUACGAAAAAUAAUUAUGUCGUUUCCUUGAUUUAGGAGGAUCCGCGAGCGAGAAUCGGUCCGCAGACGUGGACGAUAACCGACCGUGAACACCGUCACUGUGAGUGGAAUAUACAAAACCUAUUUUCAUAGUUAAUUAUGAUGGUAAUGCAUGUUUGUGAAAUACGUAUUUUAAAUGUUCUGAUUUAAUGAUUUCCUCGAAAUGGAUUUUAUUUACGCAUUGGUAUUUUAUUAAAAUGUUUGGUUAUUGAUUUUACGUAUCGACUUUGAAUAAAGCAUGAUAAUAUUUUAAAGAUAAGAAAAGUGGAUUCAAAUGUGGUAUGAUUUAAAAUAUGGUUAAGAGGUAUGUGAAUAUGAGUAUAAUGAUUGUUUUUGAAAUCAUUAGACAGUAACCUUCCCUCCAGAUACAUGUGAUACAAAUGAGAUGAGAGGCUUUUGGGGCCCGUCUGAACACACAUAGAGGCUUUGGGCCGUGUGUUUGGGCGCUUUUGCCUUUUGGGGGCAUAUGCAUGCGGUAUGAUGAUUACAGAGAUACAGAUAU
Molecule: long non-coding RNA, 7764 nt
Filed under: Citrus sinensis (sweet orange)
Lineage: Eukaryota; Viridiplantae; Streptophyta; Magnoliopsida; Sapindales; Rutaceae
Description: long non-coding RNA (CSIN_LNC002528)
Source: RNAcentral